Rhodamnia argentea is the source of this 166-nucleotide long non-coding RNA. RefSeq lists it as uncharacterized. The record is from RefSeq and is a predicted model, not a curated record. Lineage: Eukaryota; Viridiplantae; Streptophyta; Magnoliopsida; Myrtales; Myrtaceae. The transcript has 3 exons.
AAACAGACCCUCCACAGUCUCUCUCUCUCUCUCUUCUCUCUGCUUACCCUCCAUCGAACCCACUUUCGCUCACCUUCUUUCUUCAUUUCUGACUUCGCGCCGAUCUCUUCCUCGCUAUCUUCGUCGACGUUAUGCUGGACAUGGGCAUCUCUCUGCCGCCUGAAGU